UCUGGGUCUUCCUUUCCUGUGGCGGUCCUCAUGAGAGACAGGUAACUCUGGGUCUUCCUUUCCUGUGGCGGUCCUCAUGAGAGACAGGUAACUCUGGGUCUUCCUUUCCUGUGGCGGUCCUCAUGAGAGACAGGUAACUCUGGGUCUUCCUUUCCUGUGGCGGUCCUCAUGAGAGACAGGUAACUCUGGGUCUUCCUUUCCUGUGGCGGUCCUCAUGAGAGACAGGUAACUCUGGGUCUUCCUUUCCUGUGGCGGUCCUCAUGAGAGACAGGUAACUCUGGGUCUUCCUUUCCUGUGGCGGUCCUCAUGAGAGACAGGUAACUCUGGGUCUUCCUUUCCUGUGGCGGUCCUCAUGAGAGACAGGUAACUCUGGGUCUUCCUUUCCUGUGGCGGUCCUCAUGAGAGACAGGUAACUCUGGGUCUUCCUUUCCUGUGGCGGUCCUCAUGAGAGACAGGUAACUCUGGGUCUUCCUUUCCUGUGGCGGUCCUCAUGAGAGACAGGUAACUCUGGGUCUUCCUUUCCUGUGGCGGUCCUCAUGAGAGACAGGUAACUCUGGGUCUUCCUUUCCUGUGGCGGUCCUCAUGAGAGACAGGUGACUCUGGGUCUUCCUUUCCUGUGGCGGUCCUCAUGAGAGACAGGUGACUCUGGGUCUUCCUUUCCUGUGGCGGUCCUCAUGAGAGACAGGUAACUCUGGGUCUUCCUUU
Long non-coding RNA from Oncorhynchus keta (chum salmon), 705 nucleotides. RefSeq lists it as uncharacterized. The record is from RefSeq and is a predicted model, not a curated record. NCBI's taxonomy places the organism in Eukaryota, Metazoa, Chordata, Actinopteri, Salmoniformes, Salmonidae. The transcript has 3 exons.